GUAUUUCCACCCCAACACCUCACUGCAAUCUGCACAGGAGAUAUCAGCCACGGUGUGCAGACCAGUCAUUAGAUGUCUGUCCUCUUUGGCCCUGACAGUGAUGUUCAUGGCGUGGGAGAACAGAAAGGCUCGUCCGUGUCUUCCAUGGUACAUAGAAAUCACUCAUGAUGUUGCAUGACAAGAUACAAACCUCACAAGUUGCCCCGAGACAAUGUCAGAAAUACUUAUUCAACCAAAUGAAUGCCAUGGUGACAAAUGAGCUUCAAUUAGAAUUUGCAAAUUCAAGAAGUAUAUAUUCAUGCAACUCAUUGCUACAUCGAAAUGCAUCAUGCAAAGAUCAAAAAGGGCAAUGGCGACAUCAUACAACUCUCCAGCUUAGUUAUAUAUCAAAAUGCAUCAUACAAAAGACCUAAGAAGCUGAUGGUGGCAUAAUACAACUCUGCAGCUUAGUUCUACAUCAAAAUGCAUCAUAUAGAGACUUUAACAAAAGUAACAAGCCGCGUGCAACAUGACACAACUUAGCUCUAUGUCAAAAUGCAUCAUACGAAGACCAAAAAGCUGAUGGCGACAUCAUACAUCUCUGCAACAAAGUUCAUCAAAAUGCAUCACAUAAAGACUAGAAAAGCUGAGGAUGACAUGAUACAGUUCUGCAACUUAGUUCUACAUCAUUAUGCAUCAUACGAAGAUUAAAAUGAGCUGAUGGCUACAUCAAAAUGCAUCACACGAGGACUAAAAAAAGCUGCUAGCAGAGAUGAUUCCAGCACAAACAAUAUGCCUAAACAUAUACAAGGGGACAUGUACACAACAGAUCAAAUGUUUCACCUGAAAUGCCUUGGAGAUUAUAUCGUCAUGAAGGCAAACAUGAUUCUGGCAUUUGUAGCAGCUGUAGAGACGAGGGCCGACUAAUUCGUCCAUUCAACUAUAGAAUUUCUAUGCCGAUAAGAACUCACUGAUUCCAAAAACCAUAAUUCAGAAUUCCAAAAAAUGAACAGAAAAAAAAAGGUUGCAAAUAUCAAGAACAAUAUGUAAUUGAAUCAAGAACAACGAAAACCCCACCACAGAAAUAACACACUCAAAUUCUUUACCCCCAUAGCAAAAUUAAAGAGAAAUAUGCAUCAAAACACAUGAAUUCCCGUCACAAAAUUAAGCAAGAAGACGUCAGAUUCGAAUACAAACCACAUAAACAUAUCGAUAAAUUUGAAAUCUUUAUUUCAAACAGAACAAUCAAUGAGGUAAAAGCAUAAUACAAC
Molecule: long non-coding RNA, 1250 nt
Filed under: Salvia miltiorrhiza (redroot sage)
Lineage: Eukaryota; Viridiplantae; Streptophyta; Magnoliopsida; Lamiales; Lamiaceae
Description: long non-coding RNA (SMIL_LNC005667)
Source: RNAcentral